CCCAAAAUGGCCCAAAGGCCACCAGCGAAGCGCCCAUUCGGUAGAAAAGCCUCGAACAGGAGUAGCCGAAGCAUACAGCGAACUGCGAAGUAACAAUUCCCAGAGCACCCAAACAAACAGAAACAAUUUAGCAAAGCCAUGGAAGUGGAGGGAUCUUCGAAGAAAAUGAUCGCAACGCAGGCUGAGAUGGUGGAGGCGAAGGUCCCGCUUCCAUACAGAGACCAAUGCGCCCACCUUCUGAUCCCACUCAACAAGUGCAGGCAAUCCGAGUUAUACCUACCCUGGAAGUGCGAGACCGAGCGCCACUCCUACGAGAAGUGCGAGUACGAACUCGUCAUGGAGCGGAUGCUCAAGAUGCAGAAGAUCCGUGAAGAAGAGGCCAAGUUGAAGCAACAGCAGACGAAGAAACAGCCGUUUCCUCUCAUUCCCAAAACUGCCCAGGCUUCUUAGACUAGAAUAUCCGAAAUGGGAGCUUUGAAACUGUUCAGACAUGGAUGCUCCAAUCAUUUUCACCGGUAUUGAUUUGAAGUUAACUGAAACUGGUUGUUCGGAAACAAGUACGUGACUUAUUUUUUGCUGCUUCUUUUUGAGUUUGCAACCCUUUGUCAACAUAUGGAAUAAAAUUUAUCACAAUGAUAUUUGUGAUGUAUAUUUGGCCGCUGUUCUCCAUUUCUUCCGUAACUUGGAAAGGGGUAAUACUAUGUUUAAGCUU
Juglans microcarpa x Juglans regia is the source of this 712-nucleotide RNA transcript. It is a transcript of the gene named NADH dehydrogenase [ubiquinone] 1 beta subcomplex subunit 7-like, with no coding region annotated. The record is from RefSeq and is a predicted model, not a curated record. Lineage: Eukaryota; Viridiplantae; Streptophyta; Magnoliopsida; Fagales; Juglandaceae. The transcript has 3 exons.